This 253-nucleotide unclassified non-coding RNA is filed under the name uncultured delta proteobacterium. RNAcentral's name for it is "contains 16S-23S intergenic spacer region". It matches the Rfam family "Bacterial small subunit ribosomal RNA", at positions 524 to 776 of the family's 1533-position model. The record is from RNAcentral. Lineage: Bacteria; Deltaproteobacteria.
UACGGGGAGUGCAAGCGUUGUUCGGAAUCAUUGGGCGUAAAGCGCGCGUAGGCGGCCUGAUAAGUCUGGAGUGAAAGCCCUCGGCCUAACCGAGGAUGUGCUUCGGAUACUGUUAGGCUUGAGUCCCGGAGGGGCAAGUGGAAUUCCCAGUGUAGAGGUGAAAUUCGUAGAUAUUGGGAGGAACACCAGUGGCGAAGGCGGCUUGCUGGACGAGGACUGACGCUGAGGCGCGAAAGUGUGGGGAGCAAACAGG